RNAcentral lists this transfer RNA (84 nucleotides) under Paractinoplanes deccanensis. Its description in RNAcentral is "Actinoplanes deccanensis tRNA-Val". Lineage: Bacteria; Bacillati; Actinomycetota; Actinomycetes; Micromonosporales; Micromonosporaceae. The record is from RNAcentral.
GCGGUGGUUCGGCCAGGAGGAGCCGAUCCCGCUGCUCUACGCGCUGCUGCAGAAGCUGCCGCUGUUCGACUCGGCGCUGCCGCU